AGAGUGCCAUCGAGUUCCUUCCCCUAAGGAUCAGACUUCCAGACUCAAGGUCUCUCCUGAGCACACGGCUUCAUAAACCAGCUGCACAAGCAACUGCAUCUGGGGAUCUGCUUCAAGAGAAACUUAACUAAAGCAAGAAUGGGCUCUAACUUCAGGAUACCUAGGAUUCUAACCUCGUUCCAUUACUUACCAACGAUAUGACCUGGGAAAAAUUAUAUACCUGCUGUAAGCCUCAAUGUCCUCAUUUGAAAUACACACAUAAUAGUAGGAUCUCUCUUACAAGGUUGCUGAAAAUAUAAACAGUGGUUAUCAAUGGAAAAAGCUUCUCUCAGUGCUUGGCAAAUAGGAAGCACUUAAUAAGUGUUUUCCGGUAUUUUUAUGAUUAUCAUCAUUACUAUAAUUCCCAAGGCACCCAAAACCCAUGCUAGUCCUCUGGAGACAUGAUUUCUCCAGCUCAAUUCAACUAGGCUGCUGGCUGCUGAGAAUAAUAGAAGAGCUGCAUUUUUAGAGACGGCAGCCAGGAGCUUGUGAUAGAAUGGGGAGAAACAGAAUUCGAAUGAGCAGAAUCAGGAAGUCUGGAUAUUUCUGGAUGUUUU
Molecule: long non-coding RNA, 596 nt
Filed under: Homo sapiens (human)
Lineage: Eukaryota; Metazoa; Chordata; Mammalia; Primates; Hominidae
Description: HSALNT0352980
Source: RNAcentral